RNAcentral lists this unclassified non-coding RNA (395 nucleotides) under soil metagenome. Its description in RNAcentral is "partial contains 5.8S ribosomal RNA, internal transcribed spacer 2, and large subunit ribosomal RNA". The stretch from base 1 to 122 matches the Rfam family "5.8S ribosomal RNA", at positions 35 to 154 of the family's 154-position model. The record is from RNAcentral.
GAUGAAGAACGGAGCGAAAUGCGAUACUUGGUGUGAAUUGCAGAAUCCCGUGAACCAUCGAGUCUUUGAACGCAAGUUGCGCCCGAAGCCAUCAGGUUGAGGGCACGUCUGCCUGGGCGUCACAUAUCGUUGCCCAAUGCCUAUUGCAGUGCAAUAGGAAUUUCUAGGGCGAAUGAUGGCUUCCCGUGAGCGUUGUUGCCUCGCGGUUGGUUGAAAAUCGAGUCCUUGGUAGGGUGUGCCAUGGUAGAUGGUGGUCGAGUUAGAACGAUACCGAUCAUGUGCAUGCUCCCCAAAAUAUGGCCUCUAUGACCCACACGCGUCUUUUGACGCUCAUGACGAGACCUCAGGUCAGGGGGGGCUACCCGCUGAAUUUAAGCAUAUCAAUAAGCGGAGGA